GCCUUGUUAGCGCAGUAGGUAGGAUGUCAGUCUCAUAAUCUGAAGGUCAUGAGUUCAAUUCCCCACUGGGGCA
Megalops atlanticus (tarpon) is the source of this 73-nucleotide non-coding RNA. Lineage: Eukaryota; Metazoa; Chordata; Actinopteri; Elopiformes; Megalopidae. The record is from the annotation of a GenBank genome assembly.